This 117-nucleotide ribosomal RNA is filed under the name Paraclostridium benzoelyticum. Lineage: Bacteria; Bacillati; Bacillota; Clostridia; Peptostreptococcales; Peptostreptococcaceae. The record is from RNAcentral.
UGUGGUUAUUAUAGCAAAGAGGAUACACCUGUUCCCAUUCCGAACACAGAAGUUAAGCUCUUUAGCGCCGAUGGUACUUGGUGGGAAGCUGCCUGGAAGAGUAGGACGUAGCCGCGU